GGAGAAUAGUAUAAAUUAAUAUAUAUUAGGUGAAGUAUUAGUAUAUUAUAUUGAAAAUUAAUAAUUUUGGCGGCUAAUUAUUUUUAGGGAGGCUUGUUUUGGGAAAGUAUUUACUCUUUAUAUUUAUAAAUUUAUUUUGUUUAUUCAUCUCCGUUAUCAGGUAACAGAUAUUGUUUAAAAUGGUUUUGUGAUUUCAGGUCAAGAUGUAGCAUUAACUUUAAAUAAAAAUUAGCUAUAAUUUAGGGGAACUUUUUAGGUAAUAUAGGGGGAUAGAAAAUUUAAUUGUAAUGGUAUUUAAAAAGGUAGGUGUAAAAAAUUAAUUGGUGUACAUAUC
Molecule: ribosomal RNA, 334 nt
Filed under: Eusarcus nigrimaculatus
Lineage: Eukaryota; Metazoa; Arthropoda; Arachnida; Opiliones; Gonyleptidae
Description: partial small subunit ribosomal RNA
Source: RNAcentral